ACAAGUCUGUCUGCUCUUUAAUGCCUCAUUUGUCUUGGCACAAAGACACAUGAUUAGGCUCAGAGUGGCAUGUUUUGGCAAGGAGAGAAUGGGCAAGAGGUCAUCGAUGGACCGGAGAUGGGAUGGUAGGGACAGAAACUGCAGGGUCCGCAGAAGGAACUGCUCACCGGAAGCCAACAAGCUUGCCCUGUGGAAUCCCAGAAAGGCCCAGGAACUUCGGGACAUCACUGAAGGCAGAGUGAGGAGAGGAAGAGAGGACAGAGAAAUGGAGGGGAGAAAACUAUUAAAAUAAGUAAUAAGAAAACUUUCCCCAGAAGUGCAGAAUCUGAAUUUCCAGUAUAAAAGGGUCCAUUGAGCGCCAAGAACAAUGAGGGAAAAAAGGUCCCACUCAGGCCUACAUAUCAUUGUGAAAUUUCAGAACUCCAGGGAUAAAGAAAAGAUCCUAAAAGCUUCCCGAGAGAUAAAAAAGAAGAUUUUUACAAAGGAUCAGCAAUCAGAAUUGCCUCAGACUGCUCAAUAAAAACAUCAGAAGCUAGAAGAAAAUAGAGUGAGGCAUCAAAAUCCUGAGGGAAAUGAUUCCCACCUAAAAUUUAAUAUUCUGCUCAAUUAUCAAUUAAGUAUUGAAGGGAAAUAAAGACAUUUUUAGACA
This 649-nucleotide long non-coding RNA is filed under the name Pongo abelii (Sumatran orangutan). Its description in RNAcentral is "lincRNA". The record is from RNAcentral. Lineage: Eukaryota; Metazoa; Chordata; Mammalia; Primates; Hominidae.